AAGGCCAAAUGGGACAGUGCAUCUGGCUGUCAACCAGAAGGUUGGUGGUUUGAACCCACCCUGGGAUG
Molecule: non-coding RNA, 68 nt
Organism: Podarcis lilfordi (Lilford's wall lizard)
Lineage: Eukaryota; Metazoa; Chordata; Lepidosauria; Squamata; Lacertidae
Source: the annotation of a GenBank genome assembly